Molecule: ribosomal RNA, 464 nt
Filed under: uncultured bacterium
Lineage: Bacteria
Description: partial 16S ribosomal RNA
Rfam family: Bacterial small subunit ribosomal RNA
Source: RNAcentral
CCUACGGGUGGCUGCAGUAGGGAAUCUUCCACAAUGGACGAAAGUCUGAUGGAGCAACGCCGCGUGAGUGAAGAAGGGUUUCGGCUCGUAAAGCUCUGUUGGUAGUGAAGAAAGAUAGAGGUAGUAACUGGCCUUUAUUUUACGGUAAUUACUUAGAAAGUCACAGCUAACUACGUGCCAGUAGCCGCGGUAAUGCGUAGGUGGCAAGCGUUAUCCGGUGUUAUUGUGUUUAAAGGGUGCCGAGGCGGUCCGGAAACGAAGCGGUAAAAGCCCGGGGCUCAACCCCGGAGAGCCGUUGAAAGUGUCGGACUAGAGACGGCGAGAAGUACGCGGAAGGCGCGGUGUAGCGGUGAAAUGCAUAGAUAUCGCGCAGAACUCCGAUUGCGAAGGCAGCGUACCGGCGCCGGACUGACGCUGAGGCACGAAAGCGUGGGUAUCGAACAGGAUUAGAUACCCGUGUAGUC